GCGCGAAAACUUUACAAUGCGAGAAAUCGUGAUAAGGGAACCCCGAGUGCCCGUAAAUUCGGGCUGUCCAUCAGUGCAAAAAACUGGUGAAGAAAGAGCCGGGCAAGACCGGUGCCAGCCGCCGCGGUAAUACCGGCGGCUCGAGUGGUGGCCACUAUUACUGGGCUUAAAGCGUCCGUAGCUUGGUUGUUAAGUCUUCUGGGAAAUCCAUCGGCUCAACCGAUGGGCGUUCAGGAGAUACUGGCAACCUAGGGACCGGGAGAGGUGAGAGGUACUCCAGGGGUAGGAGUGAAAUCCUGUAAUCCUUGGGGGACCACCUGUGGCGAAGGCGUCUCACUAGAACGGCUCCGACAGUGAGGGACGAAAGCUGGGGGAGCAAACCGGAUUAGAUACCCGGGUAGUCCCAGCUGUAAACGAUGCGCGUUAGGUGUAUCGGUGACCACGAGUCACCGAGGUGCCGAAGGGAAACCGUGAAACGUGCCGCCUGGGAAGUACGGUCGCAAGGCUGAAACUUAAAGGAAUUGGCGGGGGA
This 532-nucleotide ribosomal RNA is filed under the name uncultured Methanomicrobiales archaeon. Its description in RNAcentral is "bacterial SSU rRNA". It matches the Rfam family "Archaeal small subunit ribosomal RNA", at positions 339 to 875 of the family's 1478-position model. The record is from RNAcentral. Lineage: Archaea; Methanobacteriati; Methanobacteriota; Methanomicrobia; Methanomicrobiales.